This 267-nucleotide ribosomal RNA is filed under the name uncultured bacterium. Its description in RNAcentral is "partial 16S ribosomal RNA". It matches the Rfam family "Bacterial small subunit ribosomal RNA", at positions 793 to 1055 of the family's 1533-position model. The record is from RNAcentral.
GUCCACGCCGUAAACGAUGAGAACUAGGUGUCGUGGGUGUUGACCCCUGCGGUGCCGUAGCUAACGCAUUAAGUUCUCCGCCUGGGAAGUACGGUCGCAAGACUAAAACUCAAAGGAAUUGAUGGGGGCCCCGCACAAGCGGUGGAGCAUGUGGUUUAAUUCGACGCAACGCGCAGAACCUUACCUGGUCUUGACAUCUAUCGAAGCUGCCCGAAAAGGCGGCGUGCCCGCAAGGGAACGGUAAGACAGGUGCUGCAUGGCUGUCGU